RNAcentral lists this non-coding RNA (219 nucleotides) under Candidatus Omnitrophota bacterium. Lineage: Bacteria; Pseudomonadati; Candidatus Omnitrophota. The record is from RNAcentral.
AUAUAUUAGAACUAUAUAGGCGCCUGAAAGGGCUUAAUAGGGAAUUCCGUGUAAACGGAAACGGUCCCGCCGCUGUAAUCACGUCCAUAUCAAAUUUUCACAGAAUAAUUUGAUAUGGGAAAACUUUUUGGCACUCAAGCCACUGUCCUAAUUAUUUGGAUGGGAAGGCAGUCAAGAAGGCGCGAUAGUCAGAAGACCUACCUAUAUAAUAAACUCAAA